ACUCCGACAUGGGGCACUUGCUGCGGCGUGACUCAAAUAAGUGCUUCCAUGUUUGAGCGCGG
Molecule: microRNA precursor, 62 nt
Organism: Cavia aperea (Brazilian guinea pig)
Lineage: Eukaryota; Metazoa; Chordata; Mammalia; Rodentia; Caviidae
Source: Ensembl